RNAcentral lists this ribosomal RNA (321 nucleotides) under uncultured eukaryote. Its description in RNAcentral is "partial 18S ribosomal RNA". It matches the Rfam family "Eukaryotic small subunit ribosomal RNA", at positions 1470 to 1796 of the family's 1831-position model. The record is from RNAcentral.
CCCUUAGAUGUCCUGGGCCGCACGCGCGCUACACUGACAUGUUCAACAAGCCUCCUAGUUCGACAGGAUUUGGGAAAUCUUUGAACGCAUGUCGUGAUAGGGAUAGAUCAUUGCAAUUAUUGAUCUUGAACGAGGAAUUCCUAGUAAACGCGAGUCAUCAGCUCGCAUUGAUUACGUCCCUGCCCUUUGUACACACCGCCCGUCGCACCUACCGAUUGAAUGUUUCGAUGAAGAUUCCGGAUAGGACUUUUUUGAUUUAUUUCAAUUUUGUCUUAAAAGCUAUCUAAACCUCAACAUUUAGAGGAAGGUGAAGUCAUAACA